Long non-coding RNA from Xiphophorus couchianus (Monterrey platyfish), 657 nucleotides. RefSeq lists it as uncharacterized. The record is from RefSeq and is a predicted model, not a curated record. The transcript has 3 exons. NCBI's taxonomy places the organism in Eukaryota, Metazoa, Chordata, Actinopteri, Cyprinodontiformes, Poeciliidae.
AGAAACAACAGGCUCGCAUCAGUUCACAAGCAUUUCAAGUAACACGGCUGAAAAUCAGAGUCAGCUGUGGGCUUGACGUCGCCUGCCAAGCGUUACCUAAACCGAUUAUUUUCCUUCGACUAAUGAGAACUUAGCGAUGCUCGAUGUUUGUUUGCACGACGUGGCGUCUGACAUCUGUUAAGUAAUAUCUUGGAUGAGGUCAAGUCGUAUAAAAAGUUCUGUUUUUGUUUUACAGAUUUCAUAAGGCCGAUCAGAAGAAGAAAAAAAAAAAGGCUUUAUGGGACCGGUCCAUGUUUAUUAGAGGAGUGGAAUCCAUUGUGUUAAAAUAUUAAAGUCCGCACAGCCGAAGUGGAAAAGUCAUUAAAAUCAAAGCUUGAAUGUAUGAUACGUGAAUCAGAAUCCAGUGCAAACAAUUUCCCGCUCCAUAUGUGCGACGCUGGGAGAAACAAAAUUCCUAACCCAUGCAUCAACAUUCAGUCGUUUGUUGGUUAAUCCUGCAAAAAUCACACAAAAACACGAUGAAGUCUGUGGUUGUGACCUGACAAAAUGUGAAGUAUUCAGGCGAUACAGGCGUUUUCCUAAACACUGCUGUUGUGUCUGCUAAGGAGGAAAGAAACCAUGUUGUUGAGUGAGAUGUGAGUCAUUUAAGCUGGAACA